RNAcentral lists this ribosomal RNA (538 nucleotides) under uncultured bacterium. RNAcentral describes it as "bacterial SSU rRNA". It matches the Rfam family "Bacterial small subunit ribosomal RNA", at positions 777 to 1311 of the family's 1533-position model. The record is from RNAcentral.
AAUAGAUACCCAGGUAGUCCACGCCCUAAACGAUGCGAACUGGAUGUUGGGUACAUUACGGUACUCAGUGUCGAAGCUAACGCGUUAAGUUCGCCGCCUGGGGAGUACGGUCGCAAGACUGAAACUCAAAGGAAUUGACGGGGGCCCGCACAAGCGGUGGAGUAUGUGGUUUAAUUCGAUGCAACGCGAAGAACCUUACCUGGCCUUGACAUCUGUCGAAUCCUGCAGAGAUGCGGGAGUGCCGCAAGGAACGACAAGACAGGUGCUGCAUGGCUGUCGUCAGCUCGUGUCGUGAGAUGUUGGGUUAAGUCCCGCAACGAGCGCAACCCUUGUCCUUAGUUGCCAGCACGUAAUGGUGGGAACUCUAAGGAGACUGCCGGUGACAAACCGGAGGAAGGUGGGGAUGACGUCAAGUCCUCAUGGCCCUUACGGCCAGGGCUACACACGUACUACAAUGGUCGGUACAGAGGGUUGCGAAGCCGCGAGGUGGAGCCAAUCCCGAGAAAACCGNUCCCGAGUCCGGAUUGGAGUCUGCAAC